Molecule: long non-coding RNA, 278 nt
Filed under: Eucalyptus grandis
Lineage: Eukaryota; Viridiplantae; Streptophyta; Magnoliopsida; Myrtales; Myrtaceae
Description: long non-coding RNA (EGRA_LNC005636)
Source: RNAcentral
GUGCCGGGCUGAUCUUUCGUGAUCAUCUCAAGCCUGUGGGCUUGAUCCGGAAUCUCGGAAAUAAUUGAUGGCCACGUGCCUAAUCCCCGGGCCCAAAUACGGUGGCAAUGCUAACUGGCCUCAAUCAUCGUUCGUGGCUCUUUCGAAGGACAACUGUGGAUGUACGUGUUGUUGGGACUGGUUCGUACAUUCCGUGGAGAGGAAGGCACGGGGUCCUAGUCGGUGGGCAACGUGGGAGGUCAAGGGCCGCUCAACGCGGUUGGCAAGGGAAGGACAGC